This 800-nucleotide ribosomal RNA is filed under the name Bacillus velezensis. RNAcentral's name for it is "bacterial SSU rRNA". It matches the Rfam family "Bacterial small subunit ribosomal RNA", at positions 34 to 813 of the family's 1533-position model. Lineage: Bacteria; Bacillati; Bacillota; Bacilli; Caryophanales; Bacillaceae. The record is from RNAcentral.
CGCCCUUGGGGGGCGUGCUAAUACAUGCAAGUCGAGCGGACAGAUGGGAGCUUGCUCCCUGAUGUUAGCGGCGGACGGGUGAGUAACACGUGGGUAACCUGCCUGUAAGACUGGGAUAACUCCGGGAAACCGGGGCUAAUACCGGAUGGUUGUCUGAACCGCAUGGUUCAGACAUAAAAGGUGGCUUCGGCUACCACUUACAGAUGGACCCGCGGCGCAUUAGCUAGUUGGUGAGGUAACGGCUCACCAAGGCGACGAUGCGUAGCCGACCUGAGAGGGUGAUCGGCCACACUGGGACUGAGACACGGCCCAGACUCCUACGGGAGGCAGCAGUAGGGAAUCUUCCGCAAUGGACGAAAGUCUGACGGAGCAACGCCGCGUGAGUGAUGAAGGUUUUCGGAUCGUAAAGCUCUGUUGUUAGGGAAGAACAAGUGCCGUUCAAAUAGGGCGGCACCUUGACGGUACCUAACCAGAAAGCCACGGCUAACUACGUGCCAGCAGCCGCGGUAAUACGUAGGUGGCAAGCGUUGUCCGGAAUUAUUGGGCGUAAAGGGCUCGCAGGCGGUUUCUUAAGUCUGAUGUGAAAGCCCCCGGCUCAACCGGGGAGGGUCAUUGGAAACUGGGGAACUUGAGUGCAGAAGAGGAGAGUGGAAUUCCACGUGUAGCGGUGAAAUGCGUAGAGAUGUGGAGGAACACCAGUGGCGAAGGCGACUCUCUGGUCUGUAACUGACGCUGAGGAGCGAAAGCGUGGGGAGCGAACAGGAUUAGAUACCCUGGUAGUCCACGCCGUAAACGAUGAG